AUCAGGAGCACUGAUGUCUGUGGGCC
This 26-nucleotide non-coding RNA is filed under the name Homo sapiens (human). The record is from RNAcentral. Lineage: Eukaryota; Metazoa; Chordata; Mammalia; Primates; Hominidae.